RNAcentral lists this ribosomal RNA (490 nucleotides) under uncultured bacterium. Its description in RNAcentral is "partial 16S ribosomal RNA". It matches the Rfam family "Bacterial small subunit ribosomal RNA", at positions 28 to 507 of the family's 1533-position model. The record is from RNAcentral.
GAUGAACGCUAGCGACAGGCUUAACACAUGCAAGUCGCGGGGCAGCAUGGGGGUUGCUUGCAAUCCCCGAUGGCGACCGGCGCACGGGUGAGUAACGCGUAUCCAACCUGCCCUUCACCACGGGAUAACCCGGCGAAAGUCGGACUAAUACCGUAUGUUGUCCAUUGACGGCACCCGAGUUGGACGAGCUGGUUGGCAGGGUAGGAGGGGGAUGCGUCCGAUUGGCUGGACGGGGGGGUGACGGCCCACCGGGGCGGCGAUCGGUAGGGGCGCGGAGAGGACGGUCCCCCACACGGGAGCUGAGACACGGACCAGAGUCCUACGGCAGGCAGCAGUGAGGUAUAUUGGUCAAUGGGCGUAAGCCUGAACCAGCCAAGUAGCGUGCAGGAUGACGGCGCUAUGGGUUGUAAGCUGCUUUUAUGCGGGGAUAAAGUGGCCCACGUGUGGGUUUUUGCAGGUACCGCAUGAAUAAGGACCGGCUAAUUCCGUG